GGGGUGGAUGGGGGGGCGUCCAAGGGCUAGGUGUCCGAGCUUUGCAAUGAAAAACUGAUGCAUGAACCAGAUACCAAAUUACAAAUUUCACACUGCACAGUCUGAGUGUGAAAGGUCCUCCUUGAAUCCCCACACAAGCUCCCAUCUUGUGAUCUGGACACCUUUUAUUGUCAGGGCACCUGGGACCACCUUAAGCAUCUUAGGUCACUGGAUAAUUUCCACUUUCAUGGGAGAAUUUUAAUCCAAGCCUAGAGAUGGAAAUUUUGCUCUGCUCCACCUUUAGAAAGAGCCUGUUAAAGCAGUCUUCUCUUUUAUAGCGCCUUAUCCGUUACUAACGGUUUCUCCACAAUAGCUGUUAUAGUUGAUCACCCAUUUGUUAUGUGUCCGGAUAUGCAUAUAGACUAUUGUUGAGCCUCAUUUUCAAACUAUCAUUUUAAUGUGGGAUAUUCCCUGGGGGAGAAUCCAGAGAGGGCAACAGUAGUAUUUAGGUUGAUUUUUGUUGGCAUCAUUUUCUAAAGAUGCAGAUCCCUGUGUACUGACCGCAUCCCAGAAACAGGAAACAAGACCACAUGUUUAGAAAAACACACAGAGGCCAAGGGAGAUCACAUGUACUGGCAGGUUGGGGGAGGGGGGGGGAGUCUGCCAAAUUUCAUCCGUCUUGAGUCUCUGCAUAAUCCACAGUUAGGGACCCCUCCCUUACCUGCUUUCCCACUGCAUGGCUCUCUGCUCUGAGACAAUCAUUUCACAAUCUAUUGUGGAGUCUACGAUGGCACCCUGGAGCCUGUGUUUUUAACAAUCCCCCAACUUCUCCAGGUGAUUUCAGUGCUUUAAGCCAUGGGAAGCCAUAAAAGGUGGUGACAUGAUUAAGUUCAUAUCUUCAAAGGUCACCCUGACAACAGCCUGAUGACUCAACUGGAUGGGGCUGUUCUGGAGGCCCGUGGAACGUGCUGGGGAAGAAAUGGUGAGGGUCUAAACUAGGAGAGUGGCUGUGAAGAGGGGAUGAGGUGGGAGGAAGGGAAUGAUUCACCAGAGAGUAUUUAGGAGGUAGACUUGAGGUAACGUGGUAAUUGGUUGAAUAUGCAGAGCAAGGGAAAAGAAGGAGUUAAAGUUUUAGCUUGGGAGGUUGAAAACUCGGUGGCUUCAAACAAUGAACAUUUAUUAUCUCACAGUUUCUGUGGAUCAAGAUUUCAAGAGCAUCUUAGCUGGGUUGUUCUGUCUCAGUAUUUCACAUGAGACUGGUGAGCAUGUCAGCUGGGGCUUGGUUAGGGGCUGAGGGAUCCAUUUCUACAAUGUCUCACUCAUAUGGCCGUUGGCCAGAGGCCUCAGUUGCUCACCAUAUUGGCCUCUCCAUAGUGCUGCUUGGAUGUCUUUGAGACAUGGUAGUGAAUGAUCCAAGAGAGUGGAAGGAAGAAGUCAUGAUGCAUUUGCUGACUUAGCCUCAGGAGUCACAUUCCAUCACUUCCACAGUAUCCUAUUGUUACACUGGUCAGCUCUAUUCCGUGUGAGAGGGGACUACAUGAAAACACCAGGUGGUAGGGAUCAUUGGUGGUCAUCUUGGAGGCUGGCUACCACAGUGGAUAAAAAAACCAUCGAAGCAUUAGGAGAAAACAGGUAAAUUCCUCUAUAGUCUUUGACUCAAAAUCUAGAAGCAUAAGGGAAAAGAUUGAUCAAUUUGACACACUGUGCGUAUUUAUAACUUUAUUAUGACAGAAGACACCAUAAGAAAGUCCAAGAUAUAAUAAACUGAGAAAAUAUCUCUAAUGCCUAUCACAAAGGACUGAGAAGAAAAAACCUCCAAUUGUGUAGAAAGUGGGCAAGAGAUAUGGAAAGACAGUUGGUUGUGAUUUAUGUAAGGUCACACGUGCAGCCAGUGUUGUUUGGAAUCUGUCUCCAGACCUGUUGGCGUGUCCUCCAAGUGUCCUGCUCCGCCCUGUUCUGCCAGGGGCACAGUGCCAGCUACUCCAGGCCUGACAUGGAAAAAGAAAGGAAGAGAAUGCGGGGGCUAGCCAUGGAGAGAUGACUUCAGCUUGGAGAAUCCACUGUAGCAGGAGAGUUUGUUCAGCCUGCCUAGAAACGAAGGCACGUCACUGCAGUUAAAUGGAAUUCACCUAUGAAUGACCAGCAACAUCCAGUGCACCAAGAAUCAUCACAUAAAAACGAUUUCUCAAAAGGUUUUUUGAAAAGGGUUUAAAAAAGGUGCACAAUAUGUUUUCUCAAAAAUGCAUAGAUUCCACUUAGGUGACAUUCUGGAAAAGGCAACACCGUAGGGACAGAAAUCAGAUCAGUGGUUGCCAGAUCCUGGGGUGAGAGGAAAGGAUCGCCUACAGAGGACAUGGGGGAACUCUUGGGUGGUGAUGAAAACAUUCUAGAUUGCAGCGGUGGAUACAUGGUUGUACAUAUCUGUCAAAACUCAAAACUGCACACCUAAGAAGGGUGAAUGUUACUGUAUUUAAAUUAUACCUCAAUAAGUCUGACUUUAAAAAUGUACAGAUUCCAACUUCUAGAUCAACCUGAAUUUCCCUCUGUAACCUUGACCUUUUUAUUACAUACCUUCUUUCGUUGACAAGUUUAUCUAGUUUUAAUCUUCAAAAUGAUUUCCAGCCGAUUUUACCUAAGUUAUAGAAAGUUAAUGUUUUCAUAUAUAUUGCUUCUUUUGUCCAACCGUCCCAUUUUAGGCAGCCAACAUUUAUUGAGCCCCGUGCCUGCAAAAAGUCUUCUCUCAAUAUCCCUAUGAAGUAUAUCCUUUUAUUACUCCCAUUGUAAGGAUGAGGAAAUUGAGGUCAGGGAGAUUAAUGAAAAUCUUCAAUAAGAAUGGAUCCGGGGCUUCCCUGGUGGCGCAGUGGUUGAGAGUCUGCCUGCCGAUGCAGGGGACACGGGCUCGUGCCCCGGUCCGGGAAGAUCCCAUGUGCCGCGGAGCGGCUGGGCCCGUGAGCCAUGGCCGCUGAGCCUGCGCGUCCGGAGCCUGUGCUCCGCAACGGGAGAGGCCACAACAGUGAGAGGCCCGCGUAUGGCAAAAAAAAAAAAAAAAAAAAGAAUGGAUCUGAACUCAGGGGUACCCUAUUCCAUAGUCAGUGCUCCUAACCUCGAUGCUAUUCUGUCUUGAUGCUGCAUUUCAAAACGUGCUUCUGAUUCCCUGCAGAUCUUCUCUAUGUGCCUAACACAUACCUACAGACAAAGGACAUUCAAAUUUGCUUUCUGACAACAGCAUGUUAGAAGGACUCUUGAAAAUCAUUUUGCCAACAGGAGUUCUCAUUUGGCUUGUUUACGUUUGUCAUAUAAGCCUUAAGGUUAUAACAUUCUAAACUGAAACACCAAAGAAGCAGGAUGCCCAAGAUCUCACAGUACUGCAAUGAAAACACCCACAAUCCUCUGUGUAAUGAGAUGAAAAUAAGUAAAUGAAAGAGAGGAAUGCUUUUCCAGAAAUCCAUCUUGUGCUCAUGGACAGAGAGCUGCAGCAUGUGGUCAGUUCCUGCACCUUCGGUCAGUUCCUAAGAGCCAAAGAAACAGUAUUUGAACAUGACUUUGAUCUACAGUGACCACAGCCAAAGAUUGUUUAUGUGGAGACCUACUAUUCUUCCUGGAUUCCAUCCUGCAUUAAAAGAUGAGUAUAAUUGUAUUGUAGAAAAGCA
Long non-coding RNA from Globicephala melas (long-finned pilot whale), 3629 nucleotides. RefSeq lists it as uncharacterized. The record is from RefSeq and is a predicted model, not a curated record. Lineage: Eukaryota; Metazoa; Chordata; Mammalia; Artiodactyla; Delphinidae.